Molecule: long non-coding RNA, 314 nt
Filed under: Neogobius melanostomus (round goby)
Lineage: Eukaryota; Metazoa; Chordata; Actinopteri; Gobiiformes; Gobiidae
Description: lncRNA (ENSNMLG00000001541.1)
Source: RNAcentral
CAGAACCGAAGAUCGCUUACGUUUCCACACGGACCCGUUUUAGUGACGUACCCAUCUGCCGUCAGCUUCUGUAAGUUUGGUGACUUGAUUUUAAUCGUGUUCUGUUCAUUUACCUGCUUCCUAAACAUAGGUGAACUCUUCUAAUGUCUACCAUAGAGACUUGCUGUAAGCUACAGACGUCUUUUCUGAAUGGAGAAGAUGGAGGAUUAUCCACUCUACUGCAUCAAAUGAUUCCAGCAUUACUGAUCUGCACCCUAGAAUAUCCUGGAAUAAUCACUUGUGCAGUUUUGAUGACAUCUCUUGAAGUGUUAUGA